This 429-nucleotide ribosomal RNA is filed under the name uncultured bacterium. RNAcentral describes it as "bacterial SSU rRNA". It matches the Rfam family "Bacterial small subunit ribosomal RNA", at positions 355 to 776 of the family's 1533-position model. The record is from RNAcentral.
UGGGGAAUAUUGCACAAUGGGGGAAACCCUGAUGCAGCCAUGCCGCGUGUGUGAAGAAGGCCUUCGGGUUGUAAAGCACUUUCAGUUGUGAGGAAAGGUUGUUGGUUAAUACCCAACAGCUGUGACGUUAGCAACAGAAGAAGCACCGGCUAACUCCGUGCCAGCAGCCGCGGUAAUACGGAGGGUGCGAGCGUUAAUCGGAAUUACUGGGCGUAAAGCGCACGCAGGCGGUUUGUUAAGCUAGAUGUGAAAGCCCCGGGCUCAACCUGGGAUGGUCAUUUAGAACUGGCAGACUAGAGUUUUGGAGAGGGGAGUGGAAUUCCAGGUGUAGCGGUGAAAUGCGUAGAUAUCUGGAGGAACAUCAGUGGCGAAGGCGACUCUCUGGCCAAAGACUGACGCUCAUGUGCGAAAGUGUGGGUAGCGAACAGG